This 434-nucleotide ribosomal RNA is filed under the name uncultured bacterium. Its description in RNAcentral is "partial 16S ribosomal RNA". It matches the Rfam family "Bacterial small subunit ribosomal RNA", at positions 29 to 507 of the family's 1533-position model. The record is from RNAcentral.
AGCGAACGCUGGCGGCAGGCCUAACACAUGCAAGUCGAACGAACCUUUCGGGGUUAGUGGCGGACGGGUGAGUAACACGUGGGAACGUGCCUUUAGGUUCGGAAUAACUCAGGGAAACUUGUGCUAAUACCGAAUGUGCCCUUCGGGGGAAAGAUUCAUCGCCUUUAGAGCGGCCCGCGUCUGUUUAGCUAGUUGGUUGAGGUAAUGGCUCACCAAGGCGACGAUCAGUAGCUGGUCUGAGAGGAUGAUCAGCCACAUUGGGACUGAGACACGGCCCAAACUCCUGCGGGAGGCAGCAGUGGGGAAUCUUGCGCAAUGGGCGAAAGCCUGACGCAGCCAUGCCGCGUGAAUGAUGAAGGUCUUAGGAUUGUAAAAUUCUUUCACCGGGGACGAUAAUGACGGUACCCGGAGAAGAAGCCCCGGCUAACUUCGUG